ACUCAUGCUUCUGAUCAUCACAAAUAGAUCAUUGUGGAGCAAAAUCUAACUUUUCCUGAAAAGCUUAGAAUGCAAUAUGUCCCGGGCUAUAGCUCUCUACCUUCUGGCAUCCUGGAACCUGCACUCAAAGAUCAUCUCCUCCAUGAACACUCCCUUCAUCAGUGACCAACCCUCAAGUCCAAGGCAUGGUGAAGCAGAAGGCAAACAGGCACAUCAAGCGUCAAGGGGUGGAGGGGUACCACUCUCUCACAGCGGGGAGAAGUGAAGAGUUGACAAGAACCAUACACAAGUGCUGCCAGACUCAUCUCACAGAGAUUUUAACAUGGCUGUGUUUGCCAGGCUAGUCUCUUGUUUCAGUUGUAACAAACAAAAGCCGCUCAAACGGGCUUGAUUUUGAAAAAGAAACUGCCUGGCUCUGGCCAUGGCUGGUUGUGGGGUUGCAUGAACUGUACGAAUUCACUCUGUUCCUUGGCUCUGUGUUUCUUUGUGUAAUGCUGUCUUCAGAUGGGUUCUCUCCAUGAUAUGGCCUGCUGGGACUCCAGUCUUACUGUCUUCUGAAGAAAGUCUCCCAGAUUUCAGCCCAGAUUCCUGAAUUAGCUCUCACUGGAUCACCCAGAGGGACUUGACUUGAUUUGAAGUAUGGAGUCACCGUGGAUAGGGAAUAGAGGGUGAGGACUGGCCGUUGAUGGAUUAUGGACUCCUAGGGCCUGGGAGUGAAGGUGAUGGCAUCCCACUCCAAUACUCUUGCCUGGAAAAUCCCAUGGAUAGAAAAGCCUGGUAGGCUACAGUCCA
This 792-nucleotide long non-coding RNA is filed under the name Capra hircus (goat). Its description in RNAcentral is "lncRNA (ENSCHIG00000005199.1)". Lineage: Eukaryota; Metazoa; Chordata; Mammalia; Artiodactyla; Bovidae. The record is from RNAcentral.